RNAcentral lists this ribosomal RNA (497 nucleotides) under uncultured bacterium. RNAcentral describes it as "partial 16S ribosomal RNA". It matches the Rfam family "Bacterial small subunit ribosomal RNA", at positions 28 to 507 of the family's 1533-position model. The record is from RNAcentral.
GAUGAACGCUGGCGGCGUGCCUAAUACAUGCAAGUCGAGCGAACGGACGAGAAGCUUGCUUCUCUGAUGUUAGCGGCGGACGGGUGAGUAACACGUGGAUAACCUACCUAUAAGACUGGGAUAACUUCGGGAAACCGUAGCUAAUACCGGAUAAUAUUUUGAACCGCAUGGUUCAAUAGUGAAAGACGGUCUUGCUGUCACUUAUAGAUGGAUCCGCGCUGCAUUAGCUAGUUGGUAAGGUAACGGCUUACCAAGGCAACGAUGCAUAGCCGACCUGAGAGGGUGAUCGGCCACACUGGAACUGAGACACGGUCCAGACUCCUACGGGAGGCAGCAGUAGGGAAUCUUCCGCAAUGGGCGAAAGCCUGACGGAGCAACGCCGCGUGAGUGAUGAAGGUCUUCGGAUCGUAAAACUCUGUUAUUAGGGAAGAACAUAUGUGUAAGUAACUGUACACAUCUUGACGGUACCUAAUCAGAAAGCCACGGCUAACUACGUG